CGUAACAAGGUCUCCGUAGGUGAACCUGCGGANGGAUCAUUACACAAAUAUGAAGGCGGGCUGGAACCUCUCGGGGUUACAGCCUUGCUGAAUUAUUCACCCUUGUCUUUUGCGUACUUCCUGUUUCCUUGGUGGGUUCGCCCACCACUAGGACAAACAUAAACCUUUUGUAAUUGCAAUCAGCGUCAGUAACAAAUUAAUAAUUACAACUUUCAACAACGGAUCUCUUGGUUCUGGCAUCGAUGAAGAACGCAGCGAAAUGCGAUAAGUAGUGUGAAUUGCAGAAUUCAGUGAAUCAUCGAAUCUUUGAACGCACAUUGCGCCCUUUGGUAUUCCAAAGGGCAUGCCUGUUCGAGCGUCAUUUGUACCCUCAAGCUUUGCUUGGUGUUGGGCGUCUUGUCUCUAGCUUUGCUGGAGACUCGCCUUAAAGUAAUUGGCAGCCGGCCUACUGGUUUCGGAGCGCAGCACAAGUCGCACUCUCUAUCAGCAAAGGUCUAGCAUCCAUUAAGCCUUUUUUUCAACUUUUGACCUCGGAUCAGGUAGGGAUACCCGCUGAACUUAAGCAUAUCA
This 570-nucleotide ribosomal RNA is filed under the name uncultured fungus. RNAcentral describes it as "eukaryotic LSU rRNA". The stretch from base 208 to 361 matches the Rfam family "5.8S ribosomal RNA". The record is from RNAcentral. Lineage: Eukaryota; Fungi.